Molecule: small RNA, 76 nt
Filed under: Pedobacter rhizosphaerae
Lineage: Bacteria; Pseudomonadati; Bacteroidota; Sphingobacteriia; Sphingobacteriales; Sphingobacteriaceae
Description: Pedobacter rhizospharae Flavo-1 RNA
Rfam family: Flavo-1 RNA
Source: Rfam by way of RNAcentral
AAAUAAACCGCAUUGAAGCGGUAUACUUUUUUACCCCUUUCGGGUAAAAAAGAUUUAGCGAAAAGGCGGACCUCCC